This 378-nucleotide ribosomal RNA is filed under the name uncultured bacterium. RNAcentral describes it as "bacterial SSU rRNA". It matches the Rfam family "Bacterial small subunit ribosomal RNA", at positions 362 to 758 of the family's 1533-position model. The record is from RNAcentral.
UAUUGGACAAUGGGGGCAACCCUGAUCCAGCCAUGCCGCGUGAGUGAUGAAGGCCUUCGGGUUGUAAAGCUCUUUUGGCGGGGACGAUGAUGACGGUACCCGCAGAAUAAGCCCCGGCUAACUUCGUGCCAGCAGCCCCGGUAAGACGAAGGGGGCUAGCGUUGUUCGGAAUUACUGGGCGUAAAGCGAGUGUAGGUGGUCAUCCAAGUUGGAUGUGAAAGCCUUGGGCUUAACCCAAGAAAUGCAUUCAGGACUGGAUGACUAGAGGACCGGAGAGGAUAGUGGAAUUCCCAGCGUAGUGGUGAAAUACGUAGAGAUUGGGAAGAACACCAGUGGCGAAGGCGGCUAUCUGGACGGUUCUGACACUAAGACUCGAAC